GGGAUUGUAGCUUAAUUGGUUAGAGUGUUGCCUUGUCACGGCAGAAGUUGCGGGUUCGAGUCCCGUCAGUCCCG
Molecule: transfer RNA, 74 nt
Filed under: Stichococcus bacillaris
Lineage: Eukaryota; Viridiplantae; Chlorophyta; Trebouxiophyceae; Prasiolales; Stichococcaceae
Description: tRNA-Asp
Rfam family: tRNA
About the family: Transfer RNA (tRNA) molecules are approximately 80 nucleotides in length.
Source: RNAcentral